RNAcentral lists this ribosomal RNA (492 nucleotides) under uncultured bacterium. RNAcentral's name for it is "partial 16S ribosomal RNA". It matches the Rfam family "Bacterial small subunit ribosomal RNA", at positions 29 to 507 of the family's 1533-position model. The record is from RNAcentral.
AGUGAACGCUGGCGGUAGGCCUAACACAUGCAAGUCGAACGGCAGCACAGUAAGAGCUUGCUCUUACGGGUGGCGAGUGGCGGACGGGUGAGGAAUACAUCGGAAUCUACUUUUUCGUGGGGGAUAACGUAGGGAAGCUUACGCUAAUACCGCAUACGACCUACGGGUGAAAGCAGGGGAUCUUCGGACCUUGCGCGAUUGAAUGAGCCGAUGUCGGAUUAGCUAGUUGGCGGGGUAAAGGCCCACCAAGGCGACGAUCCGUAGCUGGCCUGAGAGGAUGACCAGCCACACUGGAACUGAGACACGGUCCAGACUCCUACGGGAGGCAGCAGUGGGGAAUAUUGGACAAUGGGCGCAAGCCUGAUCCAGCCAUACCGCGUGGGUGAAGAAGGCCUUCGGGUUGUAAAGCCCUUUUGUUGGGAAAGAAAAGCAGCAGGUUAAUACCCCGCUGUUCUGACGGUACCCAAAGAAUAAGCACCGGCUAACUUCGUG